This 510-nucleotide ribosomal RNA is filed under the name uncultured bacterium. Its description in RNAcentral is "partial 16S ribosomal RNA". It matches the Rfam family "Bacterial small subunit ribosomal RNA", at positions 28 to 507 of the family's 1533-position model. The record is from RNAcentral.
GACGAACGCUGGCGGCGUGCUUAACACAUGCAAGUCGAACGAAGCGCGCUGGAAGCUUGCUUCUCUCAUUCUUAGUGGCGAACGGGUGAGUAACGCGUAAUCAACCUGCCCUUCAGAGGGGGACAACAGUUGGAAACGACUGCUAAUACCGCAUACGAUCUAAUCUCGGCAUCGAGGAUAGGUGAAAGGUGGCCUCUACAUGUAAGCCAUCACUGAAGGAGGGGCUUGCGUCUGAUUAGCUAGUUGGAGGGGUAACGGCCCACCAAGGCGAGGAACAGUAGCCGGUCUGAGAGGAUGAGCGGCAACGUUGGGACGGGGACACGGCCCGGACUCCUACGAGAGGCAGCAGUGGGGAAUCUUUCGCAAUGGACGAAAUGCUGACGGUGCAACGCCGCGUGAGUGAUGACUGCCUUCGGGUUGUAAAGCUCUGUUAGUCGGGACGAAAGUCCUUCUUGCGAAUAGUGGGAAGGAUUGACGGUACCGGAAUAGAAAGCCACGGCUAACUACGUG